Molecule: ribosomal RNA, 466 nt
Filed under: uncultured bacterium
Lineage: Bacteria
Description: partial 16S ribosomal RNA
Rfam family: Bacterial small subunit ribosomal RNA
Source: RNAcentral
GACGAACGCUGGCGGCGUGCUUAACACAUGCAAGUCGAACGGAAAGGCCCUGCUUUUGUGGGGUGCUCGAGUGGCGAACGGGUGAGUAACACGUGAGUAACCUGCCCUUGACUUUGGGAUAACUUCAGGAAACUGGGGCUAAUACCGGAUAGGAGCUCCUGCUGCAUGGUGGGGGUUGGAAAGUUUCGGCGGUUGGGGAUGGACUCGCGGCUUAUCAGCUUGUUGGUGGGGUAGUGGCUUACCAAGGCUUUGACGGGUAGCCGGCCUGAGAGGGUGACCGGCCACAUGGGGACUGAGAUACGGCCCAGACUCCUACGGGAGGCAGAAGUGGGGAAUAUUGCACAAUGGGCGGAAGCCUGAUGCAGAAACGCCGCGUGCGGGAUGACGGCCUUCGGGUUGUAAACCGCUUUCGCCUGGGACGAAGCGUGAGUGACGGUAAUGGGUAAAGAAGCACCGGCGAACUACG